Molecule: long non-coding RNA, 504 nt
Filed under: Helianthus annuus (common sunflower)
Lineage: Eukaryota; Viridiplantae; Streptophyta; Magnoliopsida; Asterales; Asteraceae
Description: hypothetical non coding rna
Source: RNAcentral
CUUCGGGGUUGUACGAUGAUUGAAAAGGCACAAGUGUCACAAUUAUGCCCAUAAUACUCACAUGAGCUGUAUGACCCAUAUUCAAGUCAUGGAAACCUAAAACACCCUAUAAAUAUAUAAAUAAAUGGUGACAGCUGGAAACUCGGGGACAUCGAAUAAAAGAGAUUGUGGAGGACGACAAGAAGACGAAACCGAAGUUAUUUUGGAUGAGAAAAAUGUUUGGAGGCUUGAAGAUUAAAGAUUAAAGAUCUAACCUUUCGGUUAGCAGUUGUUUGCUGCUCGGGUUACUAGCUUUACUAUUUUCAUCUUUCUAAACUAUCCAAACAUGAUUUCUUUUCUGUUUAGUUUGUUUUUGUUAAUCACGUUCAGCUAAACAUCAAUAACUAUUCAGAUGCGAUGAUUCUUAUGAUGAUGUGAUUUAUGAAUGUUUGAUUUGUAUGUGAUGUCAUUUUAGUAAAGUAUAUUCUCGUUUAUCUUGUGAUGUUGGUUGAAUUGAUCUUUUAA